Molecule: long non-coding RNA, 427 nt
Filed under: Mus spicilegus (steppe mouse)
Lineage: Eukaryota; Metazoa; Chordata; Mammalia; Rodentia; Muridae
Description: lncRNA (ENSMSIG00000016923.1)
Source: RNAcentral
CCUUGCUGAACCCUGAGCUCCUGGCAGAGCCUCCAAUAGGGAACUUGAGAGCAGCUUUGCUGGUCUUGGAUCAGAAAACCCAGCACAGAUGCGGGGUAUGAUGACGACGCCCUGAUCCUCUGAGCCGGGAAGUCCGGCACUGUGGUGCAUGCCUGAGAUCUGAAGAGGCUGAGGACUGUGCCUCAAAAACAGCAUCAACCAAGAACAUAGCACAGGCGCGCAAGUGCCCGCCUGGUGAAAUCAGAUGGCCACGGUCCUGGACCAAGAGCUGGAGGACCUGCCAGUGGAAACAAUCUCACACAAUCCUGUUAAGCACACACCACCAAGGAAUGGCGGGCCUCGGGACGGGGCUGCUUCCCCCCCGGCCCUGCCCAGCCGAGCAGAUGGCGGCGUGGGCGAGUCGUGAUGUCUGACAAGGCAAUGUCAC